Molecule: ribosomal RNA, 482 nt
Filed under: uncultured bacterium
Lineage: Bacteria
Description: SSU rRNA
Rfam family: Bacterial small subunit ribosomal RNA
Source: RNAcentral
AGGACGAACGCUGGCGGCGUGCUUAACACAUGCAAGUCGAGCGACGCUCCUCCUUCGGGAGGAUGACGGAGCGGCGAACGGGUGAGUAACACGUGGGCAACCUGCCCCUAGCUCUGGGAUAACCCCGGGAAAUCGGGACUAAUACCGGAUAUGAAGUCGGACGGCAUCGUCUGACUUGGAAAGUUUUUCGGCUAGGGAUGGGCCCGCGGCCUAUCAGCUUGUUGGUGGGGUAAUGGCCUACCAAGGCGACGACGGGUAGCCGGCCUGAGAGGGCGACCGGCCACACUGGGACUGAGACACGGCCCAGACUCCUACGGGAGGCAGCAGUGGGGAAUAUUGCACAAUGGGCGAAAGCCUGAUGCAGCGACGCCGCGUGAGGGAUGACUGCCUUCGGGUUGUAAACCUCUUUCAGCAGGGACGAAGCGAAAGUGACGGUACCUGCAGAAGAAGCACCGGCAACUACGUGCCAGCAGCCGCGGUAA